UGACCCUGUGCGGGAGAGUCCUCCGGAGAACGUCCGGGGGCGCCGAAGGAGCAAAUCCUCCCCGGAAUCUCUCAGGCCCACGUACCGCACGGACGAG
RNAcentral lists this non-coding RNA (97 nucleotides) under Streptomyces sp. RNAcentral describes it as "Glycine sequence". It matches the Rfam family "Glycine riboswitch aptamer". Rfam says of the family: This family represents the bacterial glycine riboswitch. Glycine riboswitches usually consist of two metabolite-binding aptamers domains with similar structures in tandem. Lineage: Bacteria; Bacillati; Actinomycetota; Actinomycetes; Kitasatosporales; Streptomycetaceae. The record is from RNAcentral.